Molecule: transfer RNA, 21 nt
Filed under: Alocasia odora
Lineage: Eukaryota; Viridiplantae; Streptophyta; Magnoliopsida; Alismatales; Araceae
Description: partial tRNA-Phe
Source: RNAcentral
CGGGAUAUUUAGAAGAGAGUA